AUGAGGCUCCCUGCUCAGCUCCUGGGGCUGCUAAUGCUCUGGCUCCCUGGGUCCAGUGGGGAUAUUGUGAUGACACAAACUCCACUCUCCCUGCUCGUCACCCCUGGAGAGCCAGCCUCUGUCUCCUCCUGCAGGUGUAGUCAGAGCCUUCCAUACAGUGGUGAAAAAACCUACUUGUAUUGGUAUCUGCAGAAGCCAGGCCAGUCUCCACAGCUCCUGAUCUAUUUUGUUUCAAACCGGGCCUCUCAAGUCCCAGACAGGUUCCGUGGCAGUGGGUCAGACACUGAUUUCACACUGAAAAUCAGCUGGGUGGAGACUGAGGAUGUUGGGAUUUAUUACCGCAUGCAAAAUAUAGAGCUUCCUCCCACAAUGGCACAGUCCCAUAGAGAAACCUGCCUUCUGGGGUGUCCCAGUUGCUCACUUGCACUGCUUGUCUGGGGAGCAGGUCAGUAG
Non-coding RNA from Macaca mulatta (Rhesus monkey), 453 nucleotides. The record is from the annotation of a RefSeq genome assembly. Lineage: Eukaryota; Metazoa; Chordata; Mammalia; Primates; Cercopithecidae.